Corythoichthys intestinalis (scribbled pipefish) is the source of this 1609-nucleotide long non-coding RNA. RefSeq lists it as uncharacterized. Lineage: Eukaryota; Metazoa; Chordata; Actinopteri; Syngnathiformes; Syngnathidae. The record is from RefSeq and is a predicted model, not a curated record. The transcript has 3 exons.
GAAGAGGAAGCAGAGGUCACCAACGAUUCUAAACUUCACAUCAAAAACUACUCGGACUGGUGUAUAUACCUCACUUAUAGAUGUACGUACAUCGAUAACAGCAAGCUGAAGCCUCUUAAGGAGCUCCUCAACUGGAUCAAUUCAUUGUGGAAAAAGAGGCUCCAUGUGAAGAAGUCUUAUUGGGCCAAUUAUGCUCGGAUGUGUCAUGGCGGCAUGCAGCCCAGCUGCUAAUAUUGGAGGCGGAGGGAUGACGUGAGACUGUCGCCAAGCUCUUGGCCUCUCCACCUAAGCACAGGUUAGCAAGUGCCGCAUUCAAUCUCUUCUGCUAAAGGUCGAUGUCAGGUUACAACCUAUUUGCAGGAUAAACUAUGCAUGUAAUAUCCACUCACCGCCUAUUCUUUCAUUCGAAUGUGUAAACUUGACAAUUGUAAACGUCAAGGGUUUGUAUUGGCUUUUACGGUAACAAACUGGGUAUGCUGUAUAUAUAUUACUCUGUCAUAUAGUGCUCUUGAUAUGCAUUCCCUAUAAAAAUCCCACUUUAACCUUGGAAAGCUCAUAACAUGACUGUAAUGACAUCUGACAGGAAUGAAAUGUUUAACUUAUGCCUUGUUAGAUUACUGCCUCACAUGUCUGUAUGUUUGCCCUUGACUUUGAUUAGUCUGUCACCACAAAAUAUCUACAUACAUCCACUGUGAUGAAUGCAUAGGGGGAAAAGAGCUAGUUCACCUGAAGGAUCAUUCCUAUGGCAACGAUUCCAAACAUCAGAUAUAGGACACAAGCUGUCAAGUUUACCUUGGUGCAUCAACGGUGUUGAAAUGCCGUCAGACCAUGACAAUCAGUUCUUGGUCGACGACUUUGUAGUGAUUCCCUUCAAGCUGUGUUUGCUUCUGAAACAAGGCAGUUUCCCAAAAUAAAACUCCUCUUUGUGACCUUCCCUUUCCACGGAGUACUGCAAAUCCCUAUUCUCUGCCAACAAGGACUCAUUACUCCCUGUUUUAAAGGGAGCUUUCUGGUCGAGGAGGCCUCAUUACAGCUGGAAAAGACACCCAUGGGACAUGCAAGAAAAAACAGCGAAGACCCCCCCUUGAGUAAUAAGCCUGCAAAACUUCUGCAAAGAACUUGCCGAGUGUAAUGCGUGCAGCCCCCCUGCUGUUCCAUAGGAGAGAUGUCUUUGAGGUGUGUAAAUUAUAUGGCUGAGUUGUCAGGAAAAGUUCCAUUGCACACAAACUGAUUAGCACUGCUCAGACGUUUAGCACAGCAAAGCGGAGAAUUGGACACCUUUGCAGUCAAACGCUACAAAGACAAUAUUUAUCCAAAUGUCGGCGCUAAUGCAUCUCGCCUGUCUAUCAAUUAAAAACUUGCUCUGUAAAUUGGAAUGACUCCCCAGUGAAUACACGUUUUUGAUAAUAACUGUGCGUCUGAAUCCAAAACAAUAGUUCCAACAAAGUCAAGUUAUUUUUAGUUGACCUCGAUUGCGUGACCCGCCGGGCAGCACUCAAGACACAGCUGCUCCCUUUCUUUGGUCCAAAAAAAGUCUAAAAUAAUAAACUUUGGGCUUGUAGUUUACUUGAGAAGAAACAUUAAGGGAUUCUAAAACUCACAAUUGAGU